AUUGAACGCUGGCGGCAGGCUUAACACAUGCGAGUCGAGCGGAUGAAGGGAGCUUGCUCCUGGAUUCAGCGGCGGACGGGUGAGUAAUGCCUAGGAAUCUGCCUGGUAGUGGGGGAUAACGUCCGGAAACGGGCGCUAAUACCGCAUACGUCCUGAGGGAGAAAGUGGGGGAUCUUCGGACCUCACGCUAUCAGAUGAGCCUAGGUCGGAUUAGCUAGUUGGUGGGGUAAAGGCCUACCAAGGCGACGAUCCGUAACUGGUCUGAGAGGAUGAUCAGUCACACUGGAACUGAGACACGGUCCAGACUCCUACGGGAGGCAGCAGUGGGGAAUAUUGGACAAUGGGCGAAAGCCUGAUCCAGCCAUGCCGCGUGUGUGAAGAAGGUCUUCGGAUUGUAAAGCACUUUAAGUUGGGAGGAAGGGCAGUAAGUUAAUACCUUGCUGUUUUGACGUUACCAACAGAAUAAGCACCGGCUAACUUCGUG
RNAcentral lists this ribosomal RNA (484 nucleotides) under uncultured bacterium. RNAcentral's name for it is "partial 16S ribosomal RNA". It matches the Rfam family "Bacterial small subunit ribosomal RNA", at positions 30 to 507 of the family's 1533-position model. The record is from RNAcentral.